Molecule: ribosomal RNA, 494 nt
Filed under: uncultured bacterium
Lineage: Bacteria
Description: partial 16S ribosomal RNA
Rfam family: Bacterial small subunit ribosomal RNA
Source: RNAcentral
GACGAACGCUGGCGGCGUGCUUAACACAUGCAAGUCGAACGGUGAAGCGCCUUCCUUUUUGGUGGGUGUGGAUGAGUGGCGAACGGGUGAGUAACACGUGAGUAACCUGCCCCCUUCUUCUGGAUAACCGCAUGAAAGUGUGGCUAAUACGGGAUAUUCUGGGUCUGUCGCAUGAUGGGUCUGGGAAAGAUCUUGUUUCGGUGGGGGAUGGGCUCGCGGCCUAUCAGCUUGUUGGUGGGGUGAUGGCCUACCAAGGCGGUGACGGGUAGCCGGCCUGAGAGGGUGGACGGUCACACUGGGACUGAGACACGGCCCAGACUCCUACGGGAGGCAGCAGUGGGGAAUAUUGCACAAUGGGCGCGAGACUGAUGCAGCGACGCCGCGUGCGGGAUGGGGGCCUUCGGGUUGUGAACCUCUUUCGCCAGUGAAGCAGGCCUGCCUCGUUUGUGGGUGGGUUGACGGUAGCUGGAUAAGAAGCGCCGGCUAACUACGUG